AAAUGUUAACUGGCGGGGUGUUCGUUUGACAACCACUGUUUUCGCGAAAAUCGCGGGGGGGGGCGCCAAUCGGAGAAAAAGGGGUGGCGACCUCCGCGACGUAGGCGUCCAAGAAACGGAACGUCACGUGCCGGGAACGUGUCACGUCACGUGGCCGCGAACGGUUUACUUUAAACGCCGUUGUUAUGGUAACGAAAUUGGAUUCUUUGUCGGUAAAUUCAUAAAUUAAGGAGGGCACUGAACAGGACCGGCGCAUCCGCCCGAAGUGAGAGUCGGUUAACGACAGCCGUGGUACCUCGCGCAAAGACUAGUUUCUACGGACUGAAUAAUUAAAACUAAACCUUGGAACGAACGAUAAGGCCGAAGGACUUUGGGAAAGGUCAAAACGAAUAUGAAGAUCGCUGAUGUAACGCCAGAGCGAGAUAACGAUUAACACGAUAGCCCCAAUUUAGUUCGCAAUAACAUUUACUGGUUUCGACGUAAAUUUUUCCAUUGAAAUUAAUAACGCGCAUUCCCCACACUGUGUGAAAAACGUACCUUGUGCCAUUGCGUUUGUAAAAUAUUUAAACAAAGAAAAAACGCAAUAAUUUUACUAUUGGCAAAUGUGUAAAGUGUAUUGCCUAUACCCCAGGCGCUGAGACCUUUCUUCCUCGAGUAUCCAUUGUUCGAAAUCAUUUUUCACCGCAAGUGUACCAUGCCUUUUACCGUAGUGCAGGAACACUAUCCUCAUAUGUAGAGCAUGCAGACUGGAAUAGUGUUAUGGAGUGCUCGGAUGUCGAAAGGGCUUUAGAAAUUUUUUACGACAUACUAAACAAUAUUUUUGCCGUUUUCACAAUCACUAAACCACCUAGACGAUCAUGGUUCACCAAAGAAACCAUAGUAUAUGUAUCCAAUACAGUGCGAAUUUUACUAUUCGUAAUAAAAAAAUUCAGGAUACUAAUAAAUUGUUAUUUAACAGUUGCCUUAAGUCCAAGCUUGUCUAUAGCUCGGUGGUAUGGUUACCAAUAUAUAUCUGCCACACUCAGUCUAUUGAGUGUGCAGAAGAGAUUACUGAAGUAUAGGAUUCCUAUCCUGAGAGGGGAGUUGAUCAUGUUCUUCUGUUGGGAAGGUCUCUGAGCUUGCGUAGAGACUUGCAAUCGGGUUUCAAGUUAAAUCAUUGCGAAGUCCAUUGUCCGUUUCUUCUGGAACAAUGACGUUUUCAUUCAAGUCAAUUUUCUUACAACAGUUAUUGAGGUCCAAUAUAAAUUUUCGAAACAUUCAAAUAUCAUCGCACUGUGAUUUAUGUUAUGAUGGUCUCCAAGCGAUACUUGGGUAACUCCUUCUUGCGGGGCAGCAAGACUACGUUCCCCUCCAGGACGAUCGGGCAAUGUUCGCUGCAUCCAAGAGUGCCGACUUCUGGAUCAUAUGGUAAGACCCAGUUUAAUUAAGUUUGUUUUCAGGUUCGUCGGUACAACACCCAUGCUGGAUAUAAUCAAUGGGUCUGCCUCCACUCUCUCCAUGUGCCACACUUCUUUAACUUCCCAUUUCAGCCUUCUUAGAGUCGAUGUUGUGCGUGGUGUUGAUGGAUAUAUCAACUAAAUAUGCGGUAUUUGUUAAGUCUGGUUGAUUAUGCCCGAUUUCCUUGUAUGUGAUUAUGGCUUUGUCCCAGCAGAUCUUCGCUUUGUUACUCUCGAUGACUGGUGGUGUUUGGAGGCAGAAAUAUGGCUUUUUAUCUUCAAGGUUUAUGUCCUAACUUUGUUGUGCCGCCAGCCUCUCUAUAUAUUUUGUGUUGGCUAGUUUGGGGCAUACCGAAAGCAUGCAAUGUUUUCUUUCAUGAUGUACUUUCGAUAGUUCUGGGUGCCAACAACCUGGUCUCUUGCAUAGCUACAACAAACCCUUUUGUUUCUGGAAUUAAAUAGCCUUUACUCAGCCAUUGAAGGGGAGCGUCUCGGUCGACGUUGUUUAGGUUUCGUUUGAAUUUUUUCCAGAGUCGUAUCUGGUUUUCCUAACUUAAUUAAUGACUUUGGUAAUGUUAAUCGAAUUUAGCUCUGUUCUAAGGAGAGCAUUUAACCUUUGCUUGAAUUUAUCGAUGAGAAUAUUUUUGAUUUCAGCGUGUUCUAUCUUGUUUGAUUGUAGCAUUCCUAGGUAUUUGUAGGGCUGGUUAUCCAUCGCAUUUAUAGUGACGUGCUCGUUCAGGGGGAGAGCGGCGUCCGAUGUGAGUUUUCCUCUGACCACUGUUACCGCCUGGCAUUUGCAUUGCUGGCUUUGUGCACUAAUUUUAGCAGGUUUUCUAAGUGAUUUUAGAGGAGAUGAUUCAGCAUACGUGUUCCAUCGUUAGUUAGAGAUGGAAUGGAUGGAAGAUACACUUUUUUAUGUUUAUGGUUGGCGUUUGUCUUCGGGUAUUACCACAGUCAAAGCGUAGGCGAACGCGUAAACCCCAAACAGCAAAAUGGCGAGCGCUGUCGGCUAGCGAUUUUGAAAAAAUCACCGGGGCCUUUUUUAUCUUCGUUUCGAAGUGUAACGUUGUGAUUGUUGGAACGCGGACUGGUUCUUAAAAUAAGAACACAUCAAUCAAGUGCCAGCAGUAUCCGAAAUACGGAUAAUUAGUUGUCGGUCAACCCGCUUGCAGCGGGCCACUAGAUUAAUACGUAUCACUUGCCGCCGAGUCACGUGAGUUUGUUUCAUCUGUCAAAGUUAUAAACAAUUAAAGAUGGUAAAAAGCAGUGUUUAUUUUUUUGCUGAUAGUUUGAAAAGAGAUGCUUAAAGAGGAAGAAAUUUACUAAAAAAAAGUUCCGAUUCUCGAAACUGCUAUAUUUACGUAUAUUUUCAAACUAUAAUAAAAAUUGCAAUAAUUUUUUUUUCGGUAUUUUGAUGCAAAUAUUCGUUACGUGCCAUCUCAGGCAAGACCUGCUUGAUGCAGAAUCAUCUGUAAAAUGCUUAAAACGUCAAAGCAAUAAAUGCACUAUAUUUUUGGUCGUACAAUACCUGAUUUAGCUUACUUAUCUGUGAUAAUUAAAAUAAUAAAUAAUACCGUAAGCAGGACGAAUCGGGAAGUUUCGUAAAUCGUAUUUCCGUAGCCUGCGGAAGUUUCUUUGAAAAAAAAAACGAAUAAAUAUAAUACAACGUUGCCAGC
Molecule: long non-coding RNA, 3112 nt
Organism: Cylas formicarius (sweet potato weevil)
Lineage: Eukaryota; Metazoa; Arthropoda; Insecta; Coleoptera; Brentidae
Exons: 3
Source: RefSeq, a predicted model, not a curated record